RNAcentral lists this transfer RNA (61 nucleotides) under Ensifer meliloti. RNAcentral's name for it is "Sinorhizobium meliloti partial transfer RNA-Ala (TGC)". It matches the Rfam family "tRNA", at positions 1 to 59 of the family's 71-position model. From Rfam's summary of the family: Transfer RNA (tRNA) molecules are approximately 80 nucleotides in length. Their secondary structure includes four short double-helical elements and three loops (D, anti-codon, and T loops). Lineage: Bacteria; Pseudomonadati; Pseudomonadota; Alphaproteobacteria; Hyphomicrobiales; Rhizobiaceae. The record is from RNAcentral.
GGGGCUGUAGCUCAGCUGGGAGAGCACCUGCUUUGCAAGCAGGGGGUCAGCGGUUCGAUCC